Molecule: unclassified non-coding RNA, 349 nt
Filed under: soil metagenome
Description: partial contains 5.8S ribosomal RNA, internal transcribed spacer 2, and large subunit ribosomal RNA
Rfam family: 5.8S ribosomal RNA (bases 1-120)
Source: RNAcentral
GAUGAAGAACGUAGUGAAAUGCGAUAACUAAUGUAAAUUGCAGAAUUCCGUGAAUCAUCGAGUCUUUGAACGCACAUUGCGCCCCCUGGUAUUCCGGGGGGCAUGCCUGUCCGAGCGUCAUUGCUGCCCAUCAAGCACGGCUUGUGUGUUGGGUCCUCGUCCCCCCCGGGGGACGUGCCCGAAAGGCAGCGGCGGCACCGCGUCCGGUCCUCGAGCGUAUGGGGCUUUGUCACCCGCUCUGCAGGCCCGGCCGGCGCUGGCCGACGCGAAAGCAACCAUUUUUUCUCCAGGUUGACCUCGGAUCAGGUAGGGAUACCCGCUGAACUUAAGCAUAUCAAUAAGCGGAGGA